This 92-nucleotide microRNA precursor is filed under the name Genlisea aurea. The record is from RNAcentral. Lineage: Eukaryota; Viridiplantae; Streptophyta; Magnoliopsida; Lamiales; Lentibulariaceae.
AGACGAUGAGAUACAGCCAAGGAUGACUUGCCGGAUUGGAUUCUGGGCCAUUUCGUUUCCGGCAAGUAAUUUCUGGCUAUAUCUCGGCCUCG